UAGGAAUUUCUCACACUGGUUUAUUGCAUAGGAAAAGAGAGUCAUAAUUCUUUUUGUAACCAUAGAAGUAUCAUCAAAAUACAGAAUUAUUUGUAAUGCUAAUGAGAAUUUUCUUCACCAGGUAGUGCUGUUUGCAAAACAUCUGGUGCACCAUGCCAAAAAUACAUGGGAGCUGAAAGGCAGGAUGCAAACUUUGCCUCAGGAUCUUCUCCACCAGGUGUCCUUACAAGUAUUACAGAUGAGAGAAACUGAGAGCAAGAAAGUUGAAGUCAUUGGUAAAUGGAGGCACUGAUGCUCAAGUCUCCAGAUUCUUAUUCAGUGAUCUGUCUACUCUACCAUGAGGAUUCUUAUAUAAACUAUUGUUUAGAACAUCUUCCUUAUUAAUUUUUAUUUUAUCCACUGCUUUUCAUAUGGGAACCACAAGAAAUAUUUCCUGAAUUAAACUGAAAUUUUAAAGAUGGACAACUUGAAACUUUGUUGAGAAAGCAGCCUAACAUUGAAACUGUGCCAUAUGAACUGCACUGAUUAAAUGGGCACAUUACGUUUAUAAGACCCUAUCCCUUACGAGAGUCAGGACGCAUCACAGGGUGACUGUAUAUUCCAUUGGACCUGAUGUGGUCAGAGAGGUCAAUAAAUGCUCUUCUCUGCAGACAGACAAUCAAUUCCUGAGGCCAGGUGGUAUGUUGCAAAGACCAGACUGUCAAGUCAAAUGACACAGAUACAAAUUUAGACUCAGCUUCUCUAACUCUGGGCAAAUUUCUUGAUUUCUCAAAUAUUAGGUUCUUAUGAAAAAUGAGAUAAUCACAACUAUCUCAAAAUUAUUCUAAUAAAUAAAUAAAUGAAUAUAAGUGCA
Pan troglodytes (chimpanzee) is the source of this 853-nucleotide long non-coding RNA. RefSeq lists it as uncharacterized. NCBI's taxonomy places the organism in Eukaryota, Metazoa, Chordata, Mammalia, Primates, Hominidae. The transcript has 2 exons. The record is from RefSeq and is a predicted model, not a curated record.